This is a long non-coding RNA of Saccostrea cuccullata (small rock oyster), 701 nucleotides long. RefSeq lists it as uncharacterized. The record is from RefSeq and is a predicted model, not a curated record. NCBI's taxonomy places the organism in Eukaryota, Metazoa, Mollusca, Bivalvia, Ostreida, Ostreidae. The transcript is spliced from 2 exons.
UUAAAGCAAAUAAAAAUUGAUGAUAAAUAAAAAUUUUUCUUGAGCUAAUUUAUUUAAAAUUCAGUUAUUAAACUGAAGUUGAAGAUAAUGAAUAUAAAUAUACUGUUUGUAUAUUCUAUUUAUAACAAGUCAUCAAUGCAUAAGAAAAUCAGAGUGUUGCAUAUUAAUGCUAUUUUGAAACUUUAUAAUACUGUUCAUAUUAGGUAUCUAGCUACACUGUAAUGGGGUUCUUGGGUCAAGCCCCGAUGGACUCAUUCGUCGUCCUGCUGCAUUCGGAUUCAGCUAUCAGAAUCCAGGACUCGCUGACAUAUUAGAGAUGUCAAACGUUAAGCCAGAAAUACUGGAGGUGAAAUGCCCCUUUUCAGCAAAGAAUAUGACAAUUCCAGAAGCUAUUGAAAAAGUACACGGUUUCUGCCUAGGUAAUAAUAGUGUAGGUUCAGGAUUUUAAUGGAGUCAAGUCCUUCAAGCUAUGAGAGAACCACCAAUACUAUGAUCAAGUGCAAGGACAGCUUCAUAUAAUUGGGAAAUCCUUGUGUGAUUUUAUGGUCUGGACACCAAAAGACUGUGCGAUUGUGAGAAUUAACAAAGACAUCAAUUGGGAGAUCAACAUAUCUGUUUUGACAGACUUUUAUUUCUGUAAAUUUCUCCCGUAUUUACAACAGCUAUAAGAUAUAACAUUAAACAUGGUGAAAACAUUUUAA